This 2545-nucleotide unclassified non-coding RNA is filed under the name Hermetia illucens (black soldier fly). RNAcentral describes it as "e3 SUMO-protein ligase PIAS3, transcript variant X2". Lineage: Eukaryota; Metazoa; Arthropoda; Insecta; Diptera; Stratiomyidae. The record is from RNAcentral.
UCCCUCUUGUCGUGUGUGUACUGGACGCGGUGCCGAGAAAUAUUUUUUUUCCGUUCAAGUUCCUUAGGUACAGCUGACAUUUUCCAAUCGGCUGGUGAUUAGUUUUAAGUGUACAGCUUGAGGUCGAAAACUCUUCAUUGAUAUCAACGGACAAGGCCGGCUAGAUGCGAAAAACACGAUCCCAAACGCAAGCAGAAAAUGCUACCACAACGACCGGACCGAGUCCGCCAUCUCGCGCGGAAUUUAAUGAAGUGCGGAACAUGGUAAUGUGUUUUCGUGUUUUUAAUCUUCAGCGAAUACUCACACAACUGAAUGCGUUUAGUCAAGCUCGCAAAAGUGAGUUACAGAUGCGCGUUAUUGAACUGCUAGAACGGAAUUUUCACGAAGUAGCCCCGAAAAUUCGAGAAAUCUAUAAAUCGUGUUCAAGCGAAGAUCGCAAUUCACCGUCUGAUUUUGGUGCACCUGAUCCAAAGAGAAUGUAUCAACCGCAGUUGCAAUUGCCGGUUCAACCCACCACACCUCUCGUCCCCAAUCAGAUGGUUAUACCAUUUCCCGGGGGAAUACAACCUAAUUUUCCAAUACAUCCCGAUGUCAGACUGAAAAAGUUAGCUUUCUAUGACAUUUUAGCCACAUUAAUACAACCCAAAUCAUUAGUACCUACAAAUACACAAAGAGUACAAGAGUCCGUACAUCAUUUCACAUUGACACCGCAGCAGGCGACGGACAUUGCUAGCAAUCGCGAUAUACGCAAUGGAUCGAAAAUUGAGCAUACAAUUCAGGUUCAGUUGAGAUUCUGCCUGUUGGAGACAUCGUGCGAACAGGAUGAUUGCUUCCCGCCGAGUAUUAUAGUUAAAGUUAAUAAUAAGCUGUGUCCCUUACCGAAUCCUAUUCCAACAAAUCGACCAAAUGUGGAGCCAAAACGGCCCCCACGGCCUGUGAAUGUUACCAGCAAUGUGAAACUAUCACCGACAGUCUCAAACAGCGUAUCGGUGCAAUGGUGUCCUGAUUUCACACGUGGCUAUGUUCUUGCGGCGUAUCUAGUUCGGAAAUUAACCUCUCAAGAGUUACUGCGUCGAAUGAAGGCGAAAGGCAUCAAACCCGCAGACUAUACGAGAGCGUUAAUUAAGGAAAAACUGAAUGAGGAUGCAGACUGUGAAAUCGCUACUACAAUGUUGAAAGUGUCAUUGAUAUGUCCGCUUGGAAAGAUGAGGAUGACAAUACCGUGCAGAGCAUCAACUUGCUCUCAUCUACAAUGCUUCGAUGCAUUAUUAUAUCUUCAAAUGAAUGAACGUAAACCGACAUGGAACUGUCCUGUUUGUGAUAAGCCCGCUGUAUAUGAAACUCUCGUAAUUGAUGGAUAUUUCCAAGAAGUGUUAGUGUCUCCACUGUUAACUGGUGACGAUAAUGAAAUUCAACUGCAUAAAGAUGGUUCGUGGAGUACGCAUGUGAUGCGCAGUGAAAGUCAAGUGUUGGAUACGCCCAGCAAACAUGUUCAUCACAAAGUUGAAGUCAUUUCGGAUGACUUAGAAGUAAUAACAACGGAACCUGAUCAGAAGAUCAUUCCCAAAUCGCUAGCAAGCAUUAAUCAACAACCAUCUAGCACUGAACCCAGUUCCACAAAUAACGAACCCACAUCUACAACUACCAGUGAUACGGUGGAUUUAACGUUAAGUGAUUCCGACGAUGAUUUACCGUUAAAACGUAAAACAACAACCAAAGCACCAACAUCGGUUGGCAACGGACAACAAAAAACAUCGGCAGUGACGUCGACGAAAACAAAACAAAACGAAUCUAACAUUAAAAAAGAUGAAGAAGAUAGCAACGGAAUGGAAUGGAUGGAGGUUACUGAGAAGAAAAGCUAAAAGCCUUUUUGCCUACUCAUAUAUGUGGGAAAAAGUGGAUUAAUAAAUGAUGUGGAUGUCAGAUCAGAGCCUGUAAAAAAUUAAAUGUGACUAAGUGAAAUAUAAUAAAGAAUCCAACAAUGGAUAAUGUCCCCUUCUACUCCCUCGUUGAAGUGUUUGUCCGCAAUCUCGACAAUAGUCUAAUUUGCAGAGAAAUAUAAUUUAAAAGAAAAAAUAGAAAAAAAAACAUUAAAUAGAAAAACGGAAACAAUUAAGAUUUUAUAUAAAUUAAUCAAAAGAAAUCAUUUCUUGUUCAUUAGUAAAAUAUGUUUAUGGAAAAAUUGACUUUACCGCUGUAAAUAUUAACUUGAAAUAGGAAAAAAGAGAAUGAAACGGGAAAAAACAACAAAAAAACACAAAUAAAAAUGUAGAAAUUGAAAAGAUAUUGCCCUUGACUCGGAUAUGUAUGUAUUUAAAUUAAACUUAACUGAAUGAGAUUAUCUAGAUGGAUGUAAAAAACAUUGAAGAAAAGAUUUUUAUUUAAUUUUAGAUCCAUUGUAUGUGAUGUUUAUUGUUUUGCUUUAAUUUCUGUAAUUGAGAUAAAUGUAAAAAAAGAAAAACAAAAAACAAGAAAAAUGUGAGAAAAUUUUUUUAGUAUGCUAUGGAUAAAAGAAAAUAUAGAUUAAUUUACAGGAAAAACUGAA